RNAcentral lists this ribosomal RNA (459 nucleotides) under uncultured bacterium. RNAcentral describes it as "partial 16S ribosomal RNA". It matches the Rfam family "Bacterial small subunit ribosomal RNA", at positions 338 to 795 of the family's 1533-position model. The record is from RNAcentral.
CCUACGGGCGACAGCAGUGAGGCAUAUUGGUCAAUGGGAGAGAUCCUGAACCAGCCAAGCCGCGUGAGGGAAGACGGCCCUAUGGGUUGUAAACCUCUUUUGUCGAAGAACAAAACCCGGGACGUGUCCCGGACUGCGUGUAUCCGAAGAAAAAGCAUCGGCUAACUCCGUGCCAGCCGCCGCGGUAAUACGGAGGAUGCGAGCGUUAUCCGGAUUUAUUGGGUUUAAAGGGUGCGUAGGCGGUCCGUUAAGUCAGCGGUAAAAGUGCGGGGCUCAACCCCGUCGAGCCGUUGAAACUGGCAGACUUGAGUUGGCGAGAAGUACGCGGAAUGCGCGGUGUAGCGGUGAAAUGCAUAGAUAUCGCGCAGAACUCCGAUUGCGAAGGCAGCGUACCGGCGCCAGACUGACGCUGAGGCACGAAAGCGUGGGGAUCGAACAGGAUUAGAUACCCCAGUAGUC